UCUAACCCAAAAUAACUUUAUACAAGCCAUUCACUGCCUCAAAGCAAUAGUUUUGGGUUCUUAUCCCAUUUGAGACCAAAUAUCAACAAGUCUUUCUUCUCACUUCUAAACAUUCUUCAUGCAUCUCUAGCACUUGUAAUCAAUCAAAUUCAUUGUAUUAUAACAUAUUCUAACCUAAAUUAACUUUAUACAAGUCAUUCACUGCCUCAAAGCAAUGGUUUUGGUUCUUAUCCCAUUUGGGACCAAAUAUCAACAAGUCUUUUUUCUUACUUUUAAACAUUCUUCAUGCAUCUCUAGCACUUGUAAUCAAUCAAAUUCAUUGUAUUAUAACAUUUUCUAACCCAAAAUAACUUUAUACAAGCCAUUCAUUGCCUCAAAGCAAUGGUUUUGGGUUCUUAUCCCGUUUGGGACCAAAUAUCAACAAGUUUUUCUUCUCA
Molecule: long non-coding RNA, 437 nt
Filed under: Capsella rubella
Lineage: Eukaryota; Viridiplantae; Streptophyta; Magnoliopsida; Brassicales; Brassicaceae
Description: long non-coding RNA (CRUB_LNC000132)
Source: RNAcentral